GAUUCGAGCGCAGCGAGAAAACGUUGCCGCAGGCAACGACCCGAAGGGUGAGGAGCGGAGCGACGAAUAAUCCUUCCCCCACCACCA
RNAcentral lists this small RNA (87 nucleotides) under Salmonella enterica. Its description in RNAcentral is "partial RtT sRNA". It matches the Rfam family "RtT RNA", at positions 45 to 130 of the family's 130-position model. Rfam says of the family: This family represents a bacterial cis-regulatory element known as RtT RNA. The exact function of RtT is unknown although it is thought that it may be involved in changing the cellular response in relation to amino acid starvation. The record is from RNAcentral. RNAcentral also lists the same sequence under 1 other name. Lineage: Bacteria; Pseudomonadati; Pseudomonadota; Gammaproteobacteria; Enterobacterales; Enterobacteriaceae.